UACGUAGGGUGCGAGCGUUAAUCGGAAUUACUGGGCGUAAAGGGCUCGUAGGCGGCCAACUAAGUCGGAUGUGAAAUCCCCAGGCUUAACCUGGGAACUGCAUCCGAUACUGGAUGGCUUGAAUCCGGGAGAGGGAUGCAGAAUUCCAGGUGUAGCGGUGAAAUGCGUAGAUAUCUGGAGGAAUACCGGUGGCGAAGGCGGCAUCCUGGACCGGCAUUGACGCUGAGGAGCGAAAGCUAGGGGAGCAAACGGG
Molecule: ribosomal RNA, 253 nt
Filed under: uncultured bacterium
Lineage: Bacteria
Description: partial 16S ribosomal RNA
Rfam family: Bacterial small subunit ribosomal RNA
Source: RNAcentral